RNAcentral lists this ribosomal RNA (498 nucleotides) under uncultured bacterium. RNAcentral describes it as "partial 16S ribosomal RNA". It matches the Rfam family "Bacterial small subunit ribosomal RNA", at positions 29 to 523 of the family's 1533-position model. The record is from RNAcentral.
AUUGAACGCUGGCGGCAUGCCUUACACAUGCAAGUCGAACGGUAACAGGCCGCAAGGUGCUGACGAGUGGCGAACGGGUGAGUAAUGCAUCGGAACGUGCCCAGUUGUGGGGGAUAACUGCUCGAAAGAGCAGCUAAUACCGCAUACGACCUGAGGGUGAAAGCGGGGGAUCGCAAGACCUCGCGCAAUUGGAGCGGCCGAUGUCAGAUUAGGUAGUUGGUGGGGUAAAGGCCUACCAAGCCGACGAUCUGUAGUUGGUCUGAGAGGACGACCAGCCACACUGGGACUGAGACACGGCCCAGACUCCUACGGGAGGCAGCAGUGGGGAAUUUUGGACAAUGGGCGCAAGCCUGAUCCAGCAAUGCCGCGUGCAGGAAGAAGGCCUUCGGGUUGUAAACUGCUUUUGUCAGGGAAGAAAUCCUCUGGGUUAAUACCCCGGGGGGAUGACGGUACCUGAAGAAUAAGCACCGGCUAACUACGUGCCAGCAGCCGCAGUAA